GCGGCUGUGACUCAGCGGUUAGAGUGUAAGCGUGUCAAGCUUAAAGCCACGGGUUCAAAUCCCGUUAGCCGCGC
This 74-nucleotide transfer RNA is filed under the name Candidatus Hodgkinia cicadicola. Its description in RNAcentral is "tRNA-Asp". It matches the Rfam family "tRNA". From Rfam's summary of the family: Transfer RNA (tRNA) molecules are approximately 80 nucleotides in length. Their secondary structure includes four short double-helical elements and three loops (D, anti-codon, and T loops). Further hydrogen bonds mediate the characteristic L-shaped molecular structure. tRNAs have two regions of fundamental functional importance: the anti-codon, which is responsible for specific mRNA codon recognition, and the 3' end, to which the tRNAs corresponding amino acid is attached (by aminoacyl-tRNA synthetases). tRNAs cope with the degeneracy of the genetic code in two manners: having more than one tRNA (with a specific anti-codon) for a particular amino acid; and 'wobble' base-pairing, i.e. permitting non-standard base-pairing at the 3rd anti-codon position. The record is from RNAcentral. Lineage: Bacteria; Pseudomonadati; Pseudomonadota; Alphaproteobacteria; Hyphomicrobiales.